AACGCGAAGAACCUUACCUGGGUUUGACAUGGAUCGGGAGCGCUCAGAGAUGGGUGUGCCUCUUUUGGGGUCGGUUCACAGGUGGUGCAUGGCUGUCGUCAGCUCGUGUCGUGAGAUGUUGGGUUAAGUCCCGCAACGAGCGCAACCCUUGUUCACUGUUGCCAGCACGUUAUGGUGGGGACUCAGUGGAGACCGCCGGGGUCAACUCGGAGGAAGGUGGGGAUGACGUCAAGUCAUCAUGCCCCUUAUGUCCAGGGCUUCACGCAUGCUACAAUGGCUGGUACAGAGAGUGGCGAGCCUGUGAGGGUGAGCGAAUCUCGGAAAGCCGGUCUCAGUUCGGAUUGGGGUCUGCAACUCGACCUCAUGAAGUCGGAGUCGCUAGUAAUCGCAGAUCAGCAACGCUGCGGUGAAUACGUUCCCGGGUCUUGUACACACGC
Molecule: ribosomal RNA, 437 nt
Filed under: uncultured Propionibacterium sp.
Lineage: Bacteria; Bacillati; Actinomycetota; Actinomycetes; Propionibacteriales; Propionibacteriaceae
Description: bacterial SSU rRNA
Rfam family: Bacterial small subunit ribosomal RNA
Source: RNAcentral